This 254-nucleotide ribosomal RNA is filed under the name uncultured bacterium. RNAcentral's name for it is "partial 16S ribosomal RNA". It matches the Rfam family "Bacterial small subunit ribosomal RNA", at positions 524 to 776 of the family's 1533-position model. The record is from RNAcentral.
UACGGGGGGAGCAAGCGUUGUUCGGAUUUACUGGGCGUAAAGGGCGCGUAGGCGGUCAGCACAAGACAGAUGUGAAAUCCCCGGGCUCAACCUGGGAACUGCAUUUGUGACUGCACAGCUUGAGUGCGGCAGAGGGGGAUGGAAUUCCGCGUGUAGCGGUGAAAUGCGUAGAUAUCGAGAGGAACACCUGCGGCGAAGGCGGGUUGCUGGGCUGACACUGACGCUGAUGCGCGAAAGCCAGGGGAGCGAACGGG